Molecule: ribosomal RNA, 975 nt
Filed under: Triticum aestivum (bread wheat)
Lineage: Eukaryota; Viridiplantae; Streptophyta; Magnoliopsida; Poales; Poaceae
Description: partial small subunit ribosomal RNA
Source: RNAcentral
AUGGAUGAAGAGUAUGCUGCUUUAAUGAAGAACAAAACUUGGCGUCUAGUUCCACCAGCCAGAGGCAGAAAUGUAAUUGACUGCAAAUGGGUCUAUAAGGUAAAGAGGAAAUCUGAUGGCACCAUUGACAGAUACAAGGCACGUCUGGUUGCUAAAGGAUUUAAGCAGAGGUAUGGGAUUGACUAUGAGGAUACAUUUAGUCCAGUGGUAAAAGCUGCUACUAUUAGAUUGAUUCUUUCAGUUGCAGUAUCUAGAGGUUGGUGCAUAAGACAACUAGAUGUAAAGAACGCGUUCUUGCAUGAUGUUCUGGAAGAGGAAGUAUUCAUGAGACAACCUCCUGGGUAUGAGAAUCCAAAUGCACCACGUCAUAUUUGCAAACUUGAUAAGGCACUGUAUGGACUAAAACAAGCACCUAGAGCUUGGUACUCUCGGCUCUCCUCUAAGUUACAAUCACUUGGAUUUACUCCCUCAAAGGGAGAUACCUCAUUGUUUUUCUAUCACCGACGUGGGAUAACCAUUUUUAUGCUUAUUUAUGUUGAUGAUAUAGUUGUCACUAGUUCAUCAUCUAAAGCAGUUGAAGCUCUUCUUAUGGACUUGAGCAAGGAGUUUGCAUUUAAGGAUCUUGGUAGUCUUCACUUCUUCCUUGGAAUUGAGGUAAAGAAUGCAAAAGAUGGAAUUGUGUUGUCACAAGGAAAAUAUGUGCAGGAAAUACUUCAGAGAAUGGGCAUGAAAGGAUGUAAGCCGUCAUCUACACCUUUGUCUACCUCUGAGAAAAUGUCUCUUCAUGAUGGAGAGAUCCUUGGAGCAGAGGACUCCACCAGGUACAGAAGUAUUGUAGGAGCAUUACAGUAUUUGACAUUAACUAGACCAGAUAUCUCAUAUUCAGUAAAUAAAGUAUGUCAGUUCUUACAUGCUCCUACUAGUGCACAUUGGAGUGCAGUAAAGAGGAUACUUAGAUAUCUUCAAGGGACCUAG